Molecule: non-coding RNA, 271 nt
Organism: Cavia porcellus (domestic guinea pig)
Lineage: Eukaryota; Metazoa; Chordata; Mammalia; Rodentia; Caviidae
Rfam family: 7SK RNA
About the family: 7SK was discovered as an abundant small nuclear RNA in the mid-70s but a possible function has only recently been suggested.
Source: Rfam
GGAAUUGAGAGUGAUCUGGCUGCAACAUCUGUCACCUCAUGGAUCCCCAGGGUUGCUUUGGCUGAUCUGGCUGGCUAGGUGGGUGCCCCCAUACUCCUUCAGUGCUCCAUGUGUGUCCUGAAGCUGUGUGCUCAGUUGAAGAGGAAGAUUGCUCCCCAGAGAGGAAACUGGGCUUCCCAGCUAGAACUUUCAAACAAGCUUUCAAGGAGAAGAACAAGUGGUUGUCCUAUCCUCUGGAUGACUGAGAAACAUGAGAGGUUUGUUUCUAGGU